Molecule: small nuclear RNA, 99 nt
Organism: Takifugu rubripes (torafugu)
Lineage: Eukaryota; Metazoa; Chordata; Actinopteri; Tetraodontiformes; Tetraodontidae
Source: Ensembl
CCGUUACUUUACUAACAGAUAUACUAUAAUGGGAAAUAUACAGAGAAGCUUAGCAACACAAUGAAUGACAUGUGGAUUUAUGAAGCUUUCUUCAUUUCC